This 468-nucleotide ribosomal RNA is filed under the name uncultured bacterium. RNAcentral's name for it is "partial 16S ribosomal RNA". It matches the Rfam family "Bacterial small subunit ribosomal RNA", at positions 28 to 507 of the family's 1533-position model. The record is from RNAcentral.
GACGAACGCUGGCGGCGUGCUUAACACAUGCAAGUCGAACGGAAAGGCCCUGCUUUUGUGGGGUGCUCGAGUGGCGAACGGGUGAGUAACACGUGAGUAACCUGCCCUAGACUUUGGGAUAACUUCAGGAAACUGGGGCUAAUACCGGAUAGGAGCUCCUGCUGCAUGGUGGGGGUUGGAAAGUUUCGGCGGGUGGGGAUGGACUCGCGGCUGAUCAGCUUGUUGGUGGGGUAGUGGCUUACCAAGGCUUUGACGGGUAGCCGGCCUGAGAGGGUGACCGGCCACAUUGGGACUGAGAUACGGCCCAGACUCCUACGGGAGGCAGCAGUGGGGAAUAUUGCACAAUGGGCGGAAGCCUGAUGCAGCAACGCCGCGUGCGGGAUGACGGCCUUCGGGUUGUAAACCGCUUUCGCCUGUGACGAAGCGUGAGUGACGGUAAUGGGUAAAGAAGCACCGGCUAACUACGUG